Chelonia mydas (Green sea turtle) is the source of this 3036-nucleotide RNA transcript. It is a transcript of the gene named beta-2-microglobulin, with no coding region annotated. Lineage: Eukaryota; Metazoa; Chordata; Testudines; Cheloniidae. The record is from RefSeq and is a predicted model, not a curated record. The transcript has 3 exons.
UGGCCCGAGGCAGGCAGGGUAUAAAGGCGCUGGCGGGCGGCGGAGGUGCCAGUCCGCUGAGGGUGAGCGCGGAGGAGCGUGUGUAGCUGGAGCCAUGGCUCGGGGUCUCAGCGUGUUGGUGCUUGUGCUGCUCGGACUCGCCGGCCUGGAGGCGAUCGAAACUGCCCCCAAAGUACAUGUGUACUCCCGCCACCCAGCGGAGAAUGGCAAGCAGAACGUCCUGAUGUGCUUUGUGGAGGGGUUCCAGCCUCCAAACAUUCAGGUCACCUUGCUGAAGAAUGGUGAGAAGAUGGAUAACGUGGAAAUGUCCGACCUUUCCUUCCGCGAAGACUGGAGUUUCCAGCGCCUGGUGCAUGUCCCAUUCACUCCUAAUGGGAAAGAUGCAUAUGUAUGCAGAGUGGAGCAUAUCGCCCUUGACAGUCCCAAGAACAUCAAAUGGGGUGAGUAUUUCACUACUUCCAUCUUGUUCACUUCAUCCCUCAGCAAUUGUAGACUGGAUUUGGAUUCUGUUGCUACUGAGAUCCUGCACUCUGCCAGAGAAUGCAGCUUGUCUGCUUAGUCACAAGUCCAGUGUCUUUUUUUCUUUUAAGCGUAAUAUAAUAGGGUGAGUUCCUGAUUUCUUGUUUCUAGACACCUUUUGACCUUUUCCUAGGCUCCAGUGAAAUAAAUUGUCUCUAACUGCCAAAGGGAACAUAGAAUCAUGGAAUGUCAGGGUUGGAAGGGACCUCAGGAGGUCAUCUAGUCCAACCCCCUGCUCAAAGCAGGACCAAUCCCCAACUAAACUAAAUCCCCAUGUAAAUUAAUACACUGCAUUGGAACAUCUGAUAGUAAUGGAAAGAGGGAGAGACUAAUUUCUGGAAUAUUGGACAUGCUGUAGAUCAGGCCAGGCUAUAUCUACGCUGCAGACCUACGGCACAGCUGUACCGCUACAGCCGUGCUACUGUAAGGUCUCCCAUGUAGCCACUCUUUGCUGGCAGGAGAGAGCUCUCCUGCUGGCAUAAUUAAGCUACCCCCAACGAGCGGUGUUAGCUGUGUUGGCAGGAGAGGCUCUCCUGCUGACAAUAGCACUGUGUGCACCAGCAGUUUUGUUGGUAAAACUUAAGUUGGUCCAGGGGUGUUCUUUUCACACCGCUCAUCGACAAAAGUGCUGGCGUAGACAUAGCCUCAGUUAGCAGAGCUCUGGGGAAGGUAUGCACAACCCCUGCCUGCCCGCUCGGUACCUGGCUUGAAUGUUAUCAUAGUGUCUUAAUGGUAUCUUAAUCCCUUAUGGGCAUCUCGAAAUAAAAAUUACCUGAACAGAUAUGUCAGAUGUAACUUUUAUAUAACUUGCCUGUUGAAAAAGGGUAAGUGAGAAGAUAAAAAGAUGUAUUUUAUUAAAAGAGCAGUUUUUGUCAGAGAAACCAUUUUCAAGCCCAGCCUGGUCUCUUACUUUGCUCCGCAGGCUUUUCUCUGUCUUUUUUUUUUUUUUUUUAUUUGAUACAUAAUCACCAACAAUAAAAGAUCCAGGACUUUGAAUUUGUCUGGCAUCACAAGCAUGACAGGGUGGAACGGAAUCCAGUUGACUUCUGCUUGCUGGGAGGAGGAAACCCAAUUAGUUUUGGUAAACUAAGCAAAGAUGCUUAGAACAACUGGCAAGAGGAUGAGGGGUGUGGGGUCCGUUUCUUUUCUGGCCCAGUCCAUAGUCCCUUAGCAUGAGCAGUGGUGGCUUAUCACAGGGCAUCUGUCUGGCUGCUAGAGUGAUAGAACUCUCCUAGCUCUGCAUUAGAAUUGUUGUGAUUGAUGGGAGGGUUAUUUGUGCAGCACAGCCAUGUCUUGGAAGUGAAGUCUAACAUCCUGUUGUCCUCUUUUUUGCAGACCCAGAUAAUUAACCUGCAUCUUAGACACAUAUGGUCUGAAGAACUUCUGCCUUGCAAUCUGAAAUCAGCUUAAACCCUAACCCAUUUUCCUCUGUGCUCUUCACACCCCACACUCAUUUUGUGUUGGAGCUGAAUGUAUAGCUUUAAACUAAUGCUAAAUAAUUUGUUUGGGGGUGGGAUGUUGGAUGUGGGGGUGGUCUUUUGAAAUUAAAAUCUUGCUAGUGUGAAAUGUUAGAUUUGAGCCUGGGGCCCUCAUCUGUGUAUGGCAGUGUGACAUUAGAGCUGGCCUCACACCAAAAUUAUCGAUGCGCUGUCUGCUUAGGUGGAAAACUUGGGUAAUCUGGUGGUGGACAUGUUAUAGAAUCAUUAUAGAUCUUAUGCAAAGAUAAGCCAAACUUGUAUUGGUCAGUCUGGCAGGUGUGCUACUGCUAUUUAAACUGGCACUUGUAAAGUAAAUCCUAAACACGUCUCAGGGUCUUUUAAGACCCAUGGAUCCUUCUUCUAAUCCAGCCAUGCUGUGCUCAUGGUAUUGAGAGAGAGAAUUUGCACUGCAAAUUUGGAAGAUUUUUGUCUUUCCAGUAGCUCCAGAACAUAAGAGCUAUAACAAGGUCCCAGUACAGCAGGGAUGGGGACAGCAUUGAGGGCUACCAGGGCCUGAGUGCAACACAUGUUGCCAAGCCCUUUGGGGUGAGCAAUAGUAGAGCUUUCAAGAACAGCUCUUGGCUACAGCAUUUCUUACUAUAAAUGCCAAUCAAUUAAAAUAGUCAGUUAAAGCAAUAAAUCCAUGUGUGCAAGUCUGUUAAACAUUUUUGGACAAUCUAUAUAGAUCUGUUUUACUAAUUAAAAGGAGAGUGUAACACUUUGUAUGGUUCUUAAUUGUACAGAAUGACGUUUUGUCUUAAAUAUAUCUUUUAAAAAAAAAACCAAAACCCUGUGGAAGUUGUGAUUUCUUAAGUUGGAGAGGACAUUUCUUGCCUUGCAUUGGGUUCAUCAAGGCAUGCGAUAUGUCUGUCAAUGAAUUAGUCUCCCUGCUGUAAGAGCAGCUGCUCAAAUCUUUUGUUUUCCACUUUCUGAUAAAAGUAAAAGGAGAUUGUGUUCUUGAUCCAUAUGAUCAUUGACUUCUCAGCUUUGUCUUCAAGUCCUGCACAGCUCUGCUCCCAACAAUCCUUUGCUUUCUCCU